CUAGUCUUUUUUAGAAUCAGUACAAUUAAUUGAGCGGAACUGGAUUGUAACAUUAAGAGUUUUUCUGAUCGACGAUAUUUAUUUCAAUUGUCCAAAUACGAAUCGAAUUUUUAUAAAAUAAAAAUGUCGAAAAUUUUGAUUUUUCUUUUUAUUGUGGGAUUGAUAUCAAUGACUGCAGCUUACCAAGUAUAUGUAGGGCAUUGUCUAAAAGAAGGUCCCUGUAAAGAGCACAAGGAAUGUUGCACAGGAUACUGCAAAAGUUCAAGAUACACUUGGAGUACAAAAGAAAAAAUUUGUAUACCAAUGGAAUAUUUCGAGUCCUAAAAAACAUAAAUAUGAUUAAAAUAAAUCGUAGUUAAAUAAACAGAAAUAAUGUAGAUUUUUAUUCUUCACAUCUGUUCUGUAAUAUUGAAAUUUAAUUUCUUAUAUAUAUUUAAUUAAUUAAUAAUUA
This is a long non-coding RNA of Microplitis mediator, 451 nucleotides long. RefSeq lists it as uncharacterized. NCBI's taxonomy places the organism in Eukaryota, Metazoa, Arthropoda, Insecta, Hymenoptera, Braconidae. The record is from RefSeq and is a predicted model, not a curated record. The transcript is spliced from 3 exons.